AUACGUAGGGGGCUAGCGUUAUCCGGAAUUACUGGGCGUAAAGGGUGCGUAGGUGGUUUCUUAAGUCAGAAGUGAAAGGCUACGGCUCAACCGUAGUAAGCUUUUGAAACUAAGAGACUUGAGUGCAGGAGAGGAGAGUAGAAUUCCUAGUGUAGCGGUGAAAUGCGUAGAUAUUAGGAGGAAUACCAGUUGCGGAGGCGGCUCUCUGGACUGUAACUGACACUGAGGCACGAAAGCGUUGGGAGCAAACAGGGUUAGAUACCCUGUUAGUCCACGCCGUAAACGAUGAGUACUAGCUGUCGGGGGUCACCCCCCUCGGUGGCGCAGCUAACGCAUUAAGUACUCCGCCUGGGAAGUACGCUCGCAAGAGUGAAACUCAAAGGAAUUGACGGGG
RNAcentral lists this ribosomal RNA (394 nucleotides) under uncultured bacterium. RNAcentral describes it as "partial 16S ribosomal RNA". It matches the Rfam family "Bacterial small subunit ribosomal RNA", at positions 523 to 918 of the family's 1533-position model. The record is from RNAcentral.